Molecule: ribosomal RNA, 374 nt
Filed under: uncultured organism
Description: partial 16S ribosomal RNA
Rfam family: Bacterial small subunit ribosomal RNA
Source: RNAcentral
GAGGGGCCCGAGCGUUAUCCGGAUUUAUUGGGCGUAUAGAGCUAAAAGGUGGUGAUGAAAGUCGAGUGUUAAAGACCAGGGGCUCAACCCUGGAAGUGCACUCGAAACUACUUCACUAGAGGACGGACGAGGCAAGUGGAAUUGCUGGUGUAGCAGUAAAAUGCGUUAAUAUCAGCAGGAACACCGAUAGCGAAGGCAGCUUGCUAGGACGGUCCUGACACUAAAUAGCGAAAGCGUAGGUAGCGAAUGGGAUUAGAUACCCCAGUAGUCUACGCCGUAAACGAUGGAUACUAGGUAUCGGGGGAUUCGACCCCCUCGGUAUCGUAUAGCUAACGCGAUAAGUAUCCCGCCUGGGGAGUACGGCCGCAAGGCUA